Molecule: ribosomal RNA, 385 nt
Filed under: uncultured Methanosaeta sp.
Lineage: Archaea; Methanobacteriati; Methanobacteriota; Methanomicrobia; Methanotrichales; Methanotrichaceae
Description: bacterial SSU rRNA
Rfam family: Archaeal small subunit ribosomal RNA
Source: RNAcentral
AGGCUGAAGACCUUACCCGAUUAGCUGAGAGGUGGUGCAUGGCCGUCGUCAGUUCGUACUGUGAAGCAUCCUGUUAAGUCAGGCAACGAGCGAGACCCACGUCCACAGUUGCCAGCAUACCCCUCCGGGGUGAUGGGUACACUGUGGAGACCGCCGCUGCUAAAGCGGAGGAAGGAGUGGGCAACGGUAGGUCAGUAUGCCCCGAAUCUCCCGGGCUACACGCGGGCUACAAUGGUCGGUACAAUGGGCAUCUACCCCGAAAGGGGAAGGAAAUCUCUUAAAGCCAAUCGUAGUUCGGAUUGAGGGCUGCAACUCGCCCUCCAUGAAGCUGGAAUCCGUAGUAAUCGCGUUUCAACAGAACGCGGUGAAUACGUCCCUGCUCCUU